RNAcentral lists this ribosomal RNA (498 nucleotides) under uncultured bacterium. RNAcentral describes it as "partial 16S ribosomal RNA". It matches the Rfam family "Bacterial small subunit ribosomal RNA", at positions 30 to 523 of the family's 1533-position model. The record is from RNAcentral.
AUUGAAUGCUGGCGGCAUGCCUUACACAUGCAAGUCGAACGGUAACAGGUCUUCGGAUGCUGACGAGUGGCGAACGGGUGAGUAAUGCAUCGGAACGUGCCCAGUAGUGGGGGAUAGCCCGGCGAAAGCCGGAUUAAUACCGCAUACGACCUAAGGGUGAAAGGGGGGGAUCGCAAGACCUCUCGCUAUUGGAGCGGCCGAUGUCAGAUUAGCUAGUUGGUGGGGGAAAGGCCUACCAAGGCAACGAUCUGUAGUUGGUCUGAGAGGACGAACAGCCACACUGGGACUGAGACACGGCCCAGACUCCUACGGGAGGCAGCAGUGGGGAAUUUUGGACAAUGGGCGCAAGCCUGAUCCAGCAAUGCCGCGUGCAGGAAGAAGGCCUUCGGGUUGUAAACUGCUUUUGUCAGGGAAGAAAUCUUCUGGGUUAAUACCUCGGGAGGAUGACGGUACCUGAAGAAUAAGCACCGGCUAACUACGUGCCAGCAGCCGCCGUAA